UACGUAGGUGGCAAGCGUUGUCCGGAUUUACUGGGCGUAAAGGAUGCGUAGGCGGAUUUUUAAGUGGGAUGUGAAAUUCCGAGGCUCAACCUCGGCGCUGCAUUCCAAACUGGAAGUCUAGAGUGCGGGAGAGGAAAGUGGAAUUCCUAGUGUAGCGGUGAAAUGCGUAGAGAUUAGGAAGAACACCAGUGGCGAAGGCGACUUUCGGGACCGUAAAUGACGUUGAUGCAUGAAAGCGUGGGGAGCAAACAGG
This 253-nucleotide ribosomal RNA is filed under the name uncultured bacterium. RNAcentral describes it as "partial 16S ribosomal RNA". It matches the Rfam family "Bacterial small subunit ribosomal RNA", at positions 524 to 776 of the family's 1533-position model. The record is from RNAcentral.